Molecule: long non-coding RNA, 1643 nt
Organism: Sciurus carolinensis (gray squirrel)
Lineage: Eukaryota; Metazoa; Chordata; Mammalia; Rodentia; Sciuridae
Exons: 5
Source: RefSeq, a predicted model, not a curated record
UGGGGCCGAUAAGAGGAAAUGCUCAAGGAUGACUUCAUUUUGUUUAAUUCCUGGGAGCAGGAGUGGAACGUGUGCUUCACUGGUUAGGAACAGACAUGGAACUGGCACUAUUCUGCAAGGACAUUUGACCUAGCCUGACGGAAGGUCGUGGAUCCGCCAGAAUCAGGCUGGCAGAGAGCUGCAGCACUCUACUCCGGGGCAAGCAGGAAUUGAAUGUGGUCCUUUUGCUAAGAAGAAUUGCACAGAAGAACUUAUCUUCAGAAGCAGAGUGGGAAGAAGAACGGGCCUUUGGAGACAGAAUUCUGGAUUGGGGCAGAGACUCUGCCUAUUCUCUGGUUCACAAUUUUCAGGUUCAUGUCAAAACCAGCAUGGAGUUUCUGAAAGACAGAAAAGAAUACUAUAAGGAGGGAGAUCACAGGUCGGGUGACAGCUCGACAGCACAAUUCAGGAAGCACAACCGAGGAGGUGCCAUUAAGCAAAGCACCCUGUUUGUUGGAAAGAAUCACUGAAGGAUGGAGCAGGAAAGUAGGAACCAGCAGAGGCUCAGUAUCACCACUGCCCUGUGAAUAGCCUAACUUCUUUCUGCUUUUUUCCUUCACUCUCAGGUGGAAGCCCAAUGUUCAACCUAAAAGGCAUUCUCAAAAAAGGCAUUUUGUUUAGGAAAGGGGACAAUUCACUACAACAAACAUUUACUAAGGGUGCUAGUGCACUUAGAGUCAUUAAGAGGCAAAAUUAUCUAAGCCACAGACAUCAUAUGUGAGCUUAAAACCCAGGGAUCUGCUGAUUGUUACAUGUGCUCACGCAAAUAUAUGCUCAUCACAUUACACACUGUCGCUUAACUCUCUAAGACAUGAAAGAGGUUAAAAUAAAUGCAAACACUCAUUGGAGCUUUGAAAGGGAUCCGAAGUUGAUCUGCUUCUUCACCGGUUCCAACAGUGGAUCAUGGAAUAGAAGGAAUGGCAUCAAACUGUGGGAACCAAAAGCACAAAUUUUCCCAAGUGGGUCACUAAGAAUUAAUGAGAAGGUCCACUCCUAAUUGUUCUUUCUCAUUCCUCUGUGUUUUAACCCUUGAGGGAUACAGAGCCAGUAUAAUGCAGUUUGUUCAGUUAAUACUGUGUUGUGAAUGGCAGCACCCCAACCUAACAGGGUUGAUCUCUUGGUCCAAGUUGCGAGAGGCUCUUCCCAUGUUCUGUAGAUGGGCAGCUUCGUUAUGGUGUAGGGUGCAAGAAAACCAAGGGAUUGCACGUUCAUGUGGCAUUGUCACGUCUGUGACCUAAAGAGCCAUUUAAUUAUAUGCAGUAUUCACAGGAGACACGUUGCAACAUCCCCAGUGGGUAUCUGAAAACGCAGAUAAUACUGAACCCUACAUUAUUAUAGGUAUGCUAUGCUUUUCCCUGUGCACAUAUACCUCUAAAUUUCCUUUUUUUCUUUAUAAAUGUAUGAAUAGAAGAAUCAUUUGUACUGUAGAUUUUAGCAAUCUCAGCAUAUAUAUUUUUUUCUGACCUUAUUAAGUAAAGAACUUUCCCCUUUUCACUUAAAGGAAUUACUUUAUGGCCUCUCUUUGGCAUAUCUAGAUGUUAGCAUCAGUACUCUUGUGCUUUGGGGCUAUUACUAAAUAAAGGUUCCUUGAAUAAAAGCAUUGU